UGAAGUACAGGCAUCAAUUUUGUGAGGCCUUCCCAAGAGCAUUUCUAUGCACAUGUGCCAUUAUUUAUGUGUGGGCCAGUCACACAAGCAAUUCUAGGUGCAGGAUCCCUAAUGAUUCCAAUGGGAAAGUCAUAUUUGGGCUGCUUGCAGAAUCCAGGAGUCCUACGUUGCACAUAGAAUCUUUGUUACUUCGACAGCCUGAGGAGGGGAUAAGCUGCUCUAAUCAGACAUUCCUUCCUGGAGGGAAAAGAGACCCUUCAAGUCAUGCUCUUUGCAGACACGCAUCUUUCUCACUGUCACUCUGGAAAGUGACAUUGAUUCUUUUCCCUGUAGCAGAACCACGAUUACUUAAUUUGUAGCCACUGGAGCCUAUGGCAAAAGUUUUUGAGAAAGGAAGCCAAGAUUUUCACAGCUGACUUGAAACCUAGAAUAAAGAAAGGCAGAAGAAGACCUAAGUCUACUCAAAAUGGAGUGAACAAGGUCCACCCAUCCUAAUGGGAUGAGGGGUUAAGCCCUCUCAAGGAGCAGGGUGAAGUAAGACUAUAACCUCAAGAUUAGGCUCUUCUUUAUAAAGCCACACAGAGUGGUUUGAACUCUACCCAUCUUUGGUCAUUCCCUGAUAUUUGGGACAUUAAUCCCUGCUUUAGUCUACACAGGCAGAAGAGCAACCUGGGCUUUGCGUGAUGGGAUCUGCAUUUUAUAGGACUGGAUUAUUGAGACUGGUUUGAACACAAAAAACCCAAGCAGACUCCUCCAUGGCCAAUAAGAUUCUGAGGCUCACCAGCCUCCUGUGAGAUAACAAAUGCUUCACCUCAGAAUUUCUACUCUCAAAAGCAGCUUAGAAAUGAGAAGACUUCUAGGAAAUGAUUUCAAAUGGAGUGUAUCCGCAUGGACUCCAAAGGAAUCAUGUCAACAGCUCUACAGUCCCUGCAGCAGGCAUAUUCUGGUCACAAUAAAGCAGGGCAAAGCUUUUUGUGUCCAUUCAUCAAGUAAAGGAACCAUGUGUGGUAUUUUACUUAGAAAUAAAGUCCAUCUUUAAUUUAGAGCAAUCCUGCCCCUCAGCCAUCCUCAGCAACACACAAUUAUCUGGCAAAGGAAAAAAAGUGGUGGUGUGGAAAAGUUGUUACUGUCAAAGUAACCAAAACAUGAAGAUCCAAAAGGAAACAAGACUUACAAGACUUUUAAAAAUUAUUAAUGGGACAGAAUUCUUGAGUGUGUUUUUCCAUCUCCUCCUAAGUAAGAACAAAAAACACUAAUCUGAUUUCUAGUAUUUUUCAUCAACAAACCACCAGCUGUAGCAUUUCCUACAGAGCAGACAGAAGUGUAGUGCAGUGGACCCAAAUGGGACCUGUGAAAGAAUACAACUUUGAAGAGAACAGACUCAAAGGGUAUCAAUAUUUAAAUAUAGUAGGCCAGCCUGACUGAGAAAAUCCAAGCAUUUAAGUGGAUUUAUUUUUUUAUUCCUCUGCCAUACUUGGAGCAUCCCUUCAGACAAAGGGGACAAAAUCCUGGCAAUGAUUGUUUUGUGUAAAUGAAGCCAAUGAACUGGACAGGUUUCUAAUGUAUCCCUGAAGUGUGGCCCAUCCAGCAGACAGGUUGGAUCUAUGGGGUGUGGAUGAAAAGAAUAGGGGUUGCAGGAAACAUUUAUGAGCAGCCUGCUGAGACAAUCAUUAGAGCUACUUGCAUCCAUCUCACUCUCCAGUACAUUCAAAGAGUGUUCUCAGAAGAAAAUUUGGCCGCGCACCAGUGGACAGCUGCAUUUUUAAGUGGAAACCCCUGUUAAAUUAAAAUUUUCUGUGUUAUAGCAUGAGCUCUACCAUCUGUUGUCUAGCUCAUUUAUGACCAGCUAAGCUUGCAAAAAAAAACGACAAAGAACUGAAAUGAUGCAAAAGGCAAAUGUCCCUGGGGAAACUGUUUUGUAUUUCCCACAGAGAGCAAGAACUUUUGUGUUUGAGUGGUGCCUACAACACUAACAGGGAAAUAAAUGAAUGUUAAAACUGAACA
This 2004-nucleotide long non-coding RNA is filed under the name Cyanistes caeruleus (blue tit). Its description in RNAcentral is "lncRNA (ENSCCEG00000004828.1)". The record is from RNAcentral. Lineage: Eukaryota; Metazoa; Chordata; Aves; Passeriformes; Paridae.